UGCGUAGGUGGCCUUUUAAGUUGGAUGUGAAAUACCCGGGCUUAACUUGGGGGUGCAUCCAAAACUGGGAGGCUAGAGUGCAGGAGAGGAAAGCGGAAUUCCUAGUGUAGCGGUGAAAUGCGUAGAUAUUAGGAGGAACACCAGUGGCGAAGGCGGCUUUCUGGACUGUAACUGACACUGAGGCACGAAAGCGUGGGGAGCAAACAG
This 207-nucleotide ribosomal RNA is filed under the name uncultured bacterium. RNAcentral's name for it is "partial 16S ribosomal RNA". It matches the Rfam family "Bacterial small subunit ribosomal RNA", at positions 568 to 775 of the family's 1533-position model. The record is from RNAcentral.